CCUACGGGUGGCAGCAGUGGGGGAUAUUGCACAAUGGGGGAAACCCUGAUGCAGCGACGCCGCGUGGGUGAAGGAGUAUUUCGGUAUGUAAAGCCCUAUCGGCAGGGAAGAAUUUAGACGGUACCUGACUAAGAAGCACCUGCUCACUAAGUGCCAGCAGCCGCGGUAAUACGGAGGGGGCACGCGUUAUCCGGGUUCACUGGGUGUAAAGGGAGCGUGGACGGCCAGGCAAGGCUGGAGUGAAAGCGCGGGGCCCAACCCCGGGACUGCUCUGGGAACUGUCCGGCUGGAGUGCGGGAGGGGCAGGCGGAAUGCGUGGUGUAGCGGUGAAAUGCAUAGAUAUCAGGAGGAACACCGGCGGCGAAGGCGGCCUGCUGGACCGCGACUGACGUUGAUGCACGAAAGCGUGGGGAGCGAACAGGAUUAGAUACCCUAGUAGUC
This 441-nucleotide ribosomal RNA is filed under the name uncultured bacterium. Its description in RNAcentral is "partial 16S ribosomal RNA". It matches the Rfam family "Bacterial small subunit ribosomal RNA", at positions 338 to 795 of the family's 1533-position model. The record is from RNAcentral.